Molecule: ribosomal RNA, 253 nt
Filed under: uncultured bacterium
Lineage: Bacteria
Description: partial 16S ribosomal RNA
Rfam family: Bacterial small subunit ribosomal RNA
Source: RNAcentral
UACAGAGACUGCAAGCGUUAUUCGGAUUCACUGGGCGUAAAGGGUGCGCAGGUGGUCGUGUGUGUCAGAUGUGAAAUCCCGGGGCUUAACUCCGGAACUGCGUCUGAAACUGCACGACUAGAGCAUUGGAGAGGGUAGUGGAAUUCACGGUGUAGCAGUGAAAUGCGUAGAUAUCAGGAGGAAUACCGAUGGCGAAGGCAGCCCCCUGGGUCGAUACUGACGCUCAUGCACGAAAGCGUGGGGAGCAAACAGG